Molecule: long non-coding RNA, 3881 nt
Filed under: Theobroma cacao (cacao)
Lineage: Eukaryota; Viridiplantae; Streptophyta; Magnoliopsida; Malvales; Malvaceae
Description: long non-coding RNA (TCAC_LNC001843)
Source: RNAcentral
UCAUCGGUAAAUAAUUUUUGUAAUGUAAAAGCUAAACAAAUUCAUACGUACUAUAAUACAGAUAACCGGGAUAUGAAAUUUACUUUACAGUGACUCAUGGGCCCACAAGGAACAAAAGUGAACAAAAGCAGUAAACCUACAGUUUUUGGAGUAGUAAAGCCGACUAUAAUCCUUGACGAUAUUUGCUAUCCACAGGCUACCUCAGGCCUGAAAUGGUUGAAAAUGAAGGUGGUGAGAUUAUAAAAUCCCUGUGAGUAAAUAGAUACCAUCUAAACCAUCUAAAGUUGAGUAAAUGGAGACAAAUAAAACAGUUUAACAUACUGAAAUUCAUCACCUUUCAACUUGUUUCAACCAAAUAAAAUCAAUUCAUAUAAAUCAAGUAAUUUACAUGGCUUAUGAAUUUCUUUAAACUUUGGCUCGUGCCAAAAUCAUUAUCAUACUCAGUCAUCAGGGAUACCUUGGCCGAGGGCUAUCCCAAACCAAGUCCGCCAAGGCUGUUAAAAAGUUAUGUGCGCAUAAAUCAUGUUUUUGUUUUGAAAACAUAGUCGUUCCUUGGCAUUGGCUGAAUUCCCCUCACGUGGUGGUUGGGCGUGAAGUGAACUCUAAAGUUUGACCUCGGGAGUUACCUUAUGUGCCUCUCCAAUCGAGGUACAUAUAUAUGACCAAGUUUCGUGCCCCUCUAAUAGGUUGGUCCACAGAACUAGCCCACUGUAGCAAUGACACGACCCGAAACCUCCUUUAAGCCCAUGACAAUCGCCGCAACGUCCCGAUUGACACUCAUUACCCGGAAUGCCAAUCAGAACCCCGCAAGGCUUACAUAUCAGUUUCUUGCCUUUCUUGUGAGCAAUUGUUUUUAAAUAUUCUAUUUUAAACAAUUACCAGUCGUUUUUGGCUCAAGUAAAUGAAAAGACAAAAAUAUAUCAUUUUUUAAUAAAACAAUAUAAAAUAGAAACACGUGUAAAUAAUCUUUUGUAACGUGAAAGUAAAAUGAAUUCAUACAUACAAAAAUUUACAAAGUUAUAAUGUACAAUAAUAAUUACAAUGACAAGUGGCCCAAAAUACACCAAGUGUUGGUGCUAGUAACCUACUGUCUGUAAGAUGGAGGGGUCAACUAGAAUCCUCGACAAAAUCGGGUAUCUACAAGCUACCAUAGGCCUGAAAUAUUUGGAAAGGAGGUGGGUGAGAUUUUUCAAUCCCAAUGAGUAAACAGAUAUUAUCAUAAAUAUCUAAAGGCGAGUAACAUGGAGGCAAGUUUAAACAACAUAUCACAAACCAUUUCAUAAGGUUUUCAAUUUAUUUCUUAAACCAUAAAAUAUUUGUAAUUUACCAAAACAGUUGUUAAGGCUUCUAACUUUUAUUAAAAAUAGGGCUCAAGCCAAAACUAAUCCUCGAGGAUACCUUGGCCAAGGCAUCUAACUUAGUCUGCAAAGGUUGUUAAGAUAUUUACAUGCGAAACACAUUUUUAUUUUUAAAACAAGCCGUUCCUUGGCGUUGGCCGAGUUACAUAUUCACGUGGGGGUUCGACGUGAAGUGAGCUCUAAAACUACCCCAGGAGUUACCCUCCUCGCCUCUACAACCAGAGUAAUUAUAUAACCGAGUUUACCGUACCCCUCUAAUAGGCAGUCCACGGAAACCUGUCACUGCAGUGACUAACCCACCAAUUUUAAUAAAAUUUCGACAGUAUAACGUGGCUUUUAUUUAUUUACCCAGCCUGCAUAGUAAAAACAGCUUACAUUUAUUCCCAAUGCAAUUAUAAAAUAUAGCCACAUAUACCCAUAUAUCAUAAGCCAUUCAUAGUAAAAUAUAUAUUUCAAAAUAAUUGACAGCCUCCAAUUACUCAAUUUCAUAAUCAACACAAUAUAUUUUUAUUUGUCACAUUUAUUUCUAAAACAUCAAAAAUCCCGUUUUAAUCUCAUUUUCGUUUCAUAAAAUACAUAAAGAGUAUUUAAAAAUAAACUCUAGAUAAUUUACAAUAAUAAUAGGUUUACUCACCGUUUCUAUAAACUAAAUGCUUUCUAGGUGCCCUGAUCACUGUUUGUCGGGUACGACUUCCUUGCCUUUAUCGGAAGGCUCUCCUCCUAAACACAUAGCAAAAUUUACCCAAUUCUCCACAUUGAUGCUAAAUCACUAUAUAAUUGACUUAAAUCCUAUACUAAUGCAUGGUAUGAAAUGCAAUAGCCUAAAACGGCUUAAACGCGGUAUUAACCUAUUUUUGGCACUUUACCUGGUAAAUUGCUAAGGCGCUCCAUUUUAGCUCUAAAUUGUCCCAUUUUCUCUCCAACAUUUCUAACCAUUAAAUAUCAGCCAAUAACCUUCUAAAAUCACAAAAAUCAGCUCACUUUCCUCCUUGAAAAAUUCGGUCAAAAAUGGGACAUUUACUCGGUUAAUUUUUCACUUUGUUUUUCUAUCACAUUUAACCAUUUUUCAUCAUUUUCUCUUCAUUUCUCUUAGAAUAAAAAUCAGUUCAUCAUCGUUGUACAUCAAUGCAUAUUCGGCCAAGGGUGGGUAUUGUGAAAAUUUCAUGCUUUCUUGCCCAAUUUGAUUUCUGUACACAUUUAACUAACGAAAACUACCAAUUUAACUAAGAAUCAAAACCUAAAAAAUUCAAAAUCUUCCCCCUUGAAAUUCGGCCAGCCCUUGGUAUCACUUUUUGAUCUCUGUCCUCGAGCAUGCUAAAUGGAAAAAAAGGCAUAGGAAAGGUAGAAAUCAAGCUAAAGUCAAAAAAUCUUACCGUUUGACGCGUAAACGAUCGAAAAACGCGAUUUCCCCUUUGAAUUUUCUAGUUUCCCUUUGGUUUUUCUCUUUCCUUCCUUUCCUCUCUAUUUUCUUUCUUGUUCUCUCCUUAUGGCUGCCCAUCACCUGAUGUGGGGCUUAAAUGGGCUGAUUUUCCAUUAAAAUAAUAUUAAACAAUUAAAAAGUGCCAUGUGUCACUUUUCCAUUGGUCCGUUUUUAAAAUUUCAUCCUUUAAACUUCAAUUUUUCACCACUUAACAUACUAUAGUUAUUCAUACCAAAAAUAAGUAAAUCCUAUGAUUUUGACAAGUUUUAGGUGGUGAAAAUUACGGUUUUUACCCCUAAAGGAUAAAAUUACCGUUUUGCCCCUAUGUUCUGAAAAUUGCCAGAAUUGAAAUUUUUCACUUCCUAUCAUUAAAUUAUACUCCAAAUAGUUAAUCUUGGUCAAAAAUUUCACUCCAUGAUCAAAUUAUUAUCUUAGGUGGCAAAAUGACAAUUUUGCCCCUAAACAUCAAAAUUUCCAAUUUUUUCCCAAAUGAACUCUCGAACUCCGAACAAUCAUUUUUUUAGUCAUUCCUGGACUGUAAAAUAUUAAAUUUCAUCUUACGAUUCCUAUUUGAACUAGUUCGAGGUUAAAUCAACUCAAGUGUACUGUUACGUACAAUACCGAGUUUCGUCUAUUCUUAGAAACUUUUCUAACGUAAUAACAUGCUACUCAGUGCAUGUAUGUCAUGACAUGUGUUUAUAGAGUUGGGUUUUACAAGCAAGCUAAACCCACCACAUAAUAAAAAUUCAACAGCAUGAUAUGGCAAUUUUAUCAUUAUCUAGCCUAUCAAGGCAAACAACAGUUUAUACAUUUCAACACAAAUACCAAUUCAGCCAUUCAUGCCAAUAUUGUCAUAAGCCAAUCAAUUAGAACCAUAAAUUCAAAAUACAUCAAAUGGUCUCCUAUUACUCUAUUUUCAAAGCCAUUAUUCAAUUUUAAAACAAUUUAGUGAAAUCAUUUCAUUAAAUCACAUUUGGUUAAAAAAACCGAAAAAUUAAUCAUUUAAUUCAUUUUCCAUGAAAUUGACAAAAUUGGAUAAAAACCACUUUAGAUAAUUAAGACGAUAGUAAGGUUACUCACAGUACUAGGAGUUCGAUAUACUC